CUAAGUUUGAUGGCGACCGGCGCACGGGUGAGUAACACGUAUCCAACCUGCCGACGACUCGGGGAUAGCCUUUCGAAAGAAAGAUUAAUACCCGAUGGCAUAGUUCUUCCGCAUGGUAGAACUAUUAAAGAAUUUCGGUCAUCGAUGGGGAUGCGUUCCAUUAGGUUGUUGGCGGGGUAACGGCCCACCAAGCCUUCGAUGGAUAGGGGUUCUGAGAGGAAGGUCCCCCACAUUGGAACUGAGACACGGUCCAA
RNAcentral lists this ribosomal RNA (254 nucleotides) under uncultured bacterium. RNAcentral describes it as "partial 16S ribosomal RNA". It matches the Rfam family "Bacterial small subunit ribosomal RNA", at positions 79 to 334 of the family's 1533-position model. The record is from RNAcentral.